GGACAGAUGGCAGAGUGGUCGAAUGCGCACGCUUGGAAAGCGUGUGAUGCAGCAAUGUAUCCGAGGGUUCGAAUCCCUCUCUGUCCGCCA
RNAcentral lists this transfer RNA (90 nucleotides) under bacterium. Its description in RNAcentral is "tRNA-Ser". It matches the Rfam family "tRNA". From Rfam's summary of the family: Transfer RNA (tRNA) molecules are approximately 80 nucleotides in length. Their secondary structure includes four short double-helical elements and three loops (D, anti-codon, and T loops). The record is from RNAcentral. RNAcentral also lists the same sequence under 2 other names.